CGGCGGACGGGUGAGUAACACGUGGAUAACCUACCUAUAAGACUGGGAUAACUUCGGGAAACCGGAGCUAAUACCGGAUAAUAUAUUGAACCGCAUGGUUCAAUAGUGAAAGACGGUUUUGCUGUCACUUAUAGAUGGAUCCGCGCCGCAUUAGCUAGUUGGUAAGGUAACGGCUUACCAAGGCAACGAUGCGUAGCCGACCUGAGAGGGUGAUCGGCCAUACUGGAACUGAGACACGGUCCAG
This 244-nucleotide ribosomal RNA is filed under the name uncultured Staphylococcus sp. Its description in RNAcentral is "partial 16S ribosomal RNA". It matches the Rfam family "Bacterial small subunit ribosomal RNA", at positions 96 to 334 of the family's 1533-position model. The record is from RNAcentral. Lineage: Bacteria; Bacillati; Bacillota; Bacilli; Caryophanales; Staphylococcaceae.